AUAAAAAAAAAAAUUAUAAUUUAGUGAAAAAUAAAAGUGGAAAAGAUGAUUUUGAAGACAAUGAAGUAAAAAUAAAAAUUAUUAAAAAAAAAAAAAAUACUUUUAAUAAAAGAAAAACAACAGCAACUUCAUCACUAACAAGAACAUCAAUAAAUGACAAAAAAAAAUAUUCUUGGAUAGACAACGUUAAAGAAUUAAGUUUAGAAGGAUGGAUAAAAUGUGAAUUAGCAGGAUGUCUAGAAGCAGUUAUAUUUAUACAUGGUUAUAAUACAAAUCAUUUGGAAGCCUUACAAAUAUUAGGUCAAAUGGCUUCUUUUGGUAAUUUUCCUAAUUAUAUAAAAUUGUUUUUAUUUAAUUGGCCAUCUGGAGCUAGUUUUUUACAAUUUUUUGUAGCAAGAGAUAAUUCAAAAAACACGAAAGUACAUUUGGCCUUAAAAACUUUCUUAAGCACGUUGCGGAGUAAUGGUAUAAGACAAAUCCAUAUAAUCACACAUAGUAUGGGUACACGGACAUUUUUACUCUCUUUCCAUGAUAUUGUAAAAAGCAACUUGUUUUCAACCAUAGACGAAGAAGAUAACUCUUCAAGUAAUCUAACAAAAAUGAAAUUGAUAACACUAACUAUGAUGAAUCCUGAAUAUAAUCUAAGUGACUUUGUAAAUAAAGAAUAUAUUUUUCUUCGAUCUUACUGUACUGUUAUAUCUAUAUUUUGCGAUUCAAAUGAUAAAGCAUUAAGAUGGGCAGAGAUAUUUAGUGGUAAUAAAUCGUUAGGUAAAAAUGUAUUUGAUUUAAAUAUAUGUAAAAAUGAAGAUUAUUAUGCAAAAAAAAUACAGGGGUAUGAUAAUUUUGGUUUUGAUAGUAAUAAACUAGAUUGUUGUACCAUACAAAUUGAUAACAAAACUGAUAAAAGUGAUGCUCUUAUACGUGUAGAUUCACAAAUAAAUACAUCCUUUUUUAAUGAAAAAAAUUUUAACAUAUUAAAAAACUAUUAUGAUGAAGAAUAUGAUGAUGAUAAUUAUAAAUAUAAAACUUGUGUAUCUCAAGUUAUUAAUAAAUUAACAAAAUUUGUAUUUUUUUUUACACGUCGGAAAAAUAAAAAUAAUUUAAGUAAUGCAAAUAUA
RNAcentral lists this long non-coding RNA (1118 nucleotides) under Piliocolobus tephrosceles (Ugandan red Colobus). RNAcentral describes it as "lncRNA (ENSPTEG00000012441.1)". Lineage: Eukaryota; Metazoa; Chordata; Mammalia; Primates; Cercopithecidae. The record is from RNAcentral.